RNAcentral lists this ribosomal RNA (258 nucleotides) under uncultured bacterium. Its description in RNAcentral is "partial 16S ribosomal RNA". It matches the Rfam family "Bacterial small subunit ribosomal RNA", at positions 524 to 776 of the family's 1533-position model. The record is from RNAcentral.
UACGAAGGGGGGCUAGCGUUGCUCGGAAUUACUGGGGCGUAAAGGGCGCGUAGGCGGAUAUUUAAGUUGGGGGGUGAAAUCCCCGGGGCUCAACCUCGGAAUUGCCUUCAAAACUGGAUAUCUUGAGUUCGGGGAGAGGUGAGUGGAACUCCGAGUGUAGAGGUGAAAUUCGUAGAUAUUCGGAAGAACACCAGUGGCGAAGGCGACUCACUGGCCCGAUACUGACGCUGAGGCGCGAAAGCGUGGGGAGCAAACAGG